AUCCAGAAUCCAUACAAUCCACCAUUACUUCCACCUGGUCUGACCCUCCAUCAGCAUUCCCCUAGAAGCCAUAUUAACCUACUACAAAUAUGUGGCAUGAUAUGUGUUUGUUAGUCAAUCCUCUCCUAAACAGAUAAUAAAUUCCAUGAGACUAAUGUUCAUAUUUUGUUCAUUGUUCCUCUGAACCUUUAUCAGUAGCUGAUGUAUCAAAGGCAUACCAUAAAUAUGUGCAGGAUGAACUAAUGGAUGGAUGGAUAUCUCAACAAUGGGAAAUGAAGAUGGUAAUCUUCCUCCUGCAUCACAACAAAAGUCAAGUAGGACCUAACCUGUACAAGCACCUCUAUGAUAGUCACCAAUUCGCAUGGUAAGAUCAGCUUCCAGACUUGCCCAGCCUCAGCCCCAUAGUCUAUUCUCUGUAUAGAUGUGAAAAUGACCUUUUAAAUAUUAAAUCAAAUUCCUCUGUUCAAAAUUCCCCAGUGGCUGCACAGCACACUCAUUUCAUAACCUUCCCUAUUACUUGUCACACUUUAUCUCCUGUUACUAUCCUUGUCCUGACUCUUGUCCAACCACACUGGCUUCUUUAGCUGGACCCGAGACUUGCCAAACAUGCUUUCCCCUUUGCACAGACUGAUCCUUCUGGCUAGAACAGUCUUCCUUUAAAUAGCAACAUCUUCAAGUUUUUUGAACUUGAAGCUACUUGAACUGAGAUACAUCCCCAGCCCUUUUUAUUUUUAUUCUUUUGAGACAAGGUCUCCUUAAGUUACACAGGCUGGCCUUGAACUUGCAAUCCCCCUGCUUCUGUCUCCCAGAUCUCUGGAAUUAUAGGCAUGCACCAUGGCCCCUUCAAGUUUUUAAUGUGAAAUGUCACCUUCAGCAAACACUUCUGAAACAAUCCAGCCAUACCUCCAACAUAUCCCUUUCUCCAUUCACAGGCUCCAACAGUCUCCAGUUCUUUCCAGAGCCAUGGUGCAGAGUUGUAGGGGUAAGAUGGACAUAAAAUAAAAUGUGAAAGUACUCCCUGAAUUUGUGUGUACUGUGAAUACCUCAGUUUGUUUUUCUCAAGAGUUGUUAUCACCUAGCAUGUCAUAUUGUUUGUUACUAUUAUCUAUCUCCCCCGAUGAGACUGUCAGCUCACCAAGGGUAGAAAUGUCUAUUGCAUAUUUACUGCUAUAGCCCCAGUUCUUAGAACAAUACCUAGUACAUAGUAUAUACUAAAAAAUGAAUGAUUCACCAAAUAAAAACAAAUGAUUUUUAUUCUCUUCUGUAACUUAUCCCUAUUUUUCCUUUACUUUUAAAGCCAGAAAGAUGUAUAAAAAGGAAAAAAAAAUGUAUGAGAGUGCUCAUUUCCUUGUUCUUAUUCUUAGCCUGGGAAAUAAACUAAAUUUCUUCUGUAUUCAAAGUAAAGAACAACUAAAGAUGAACAUCUGUUUAAACUAUUGUUGAAUAAAAUGCCAAUAAAACAUAUCUAAGCUCUGCAGUUAUUUCCAUGGGUUUUCCCCACUCCCACUGACUUUGGUAUAGUUUCUGAUCAAUCAGGAUAGUGGGAGAUGACCCACUUUCAUAACAUCUGAAGCUAUUCAAUUUUUCUAUGAUACAAUUCCAUCAUGGGCCAAGUAGAAUGGUCCAGCAGAGAGAUGCUCUCACUUUCUCUCAAAAGGUUAUCCUUUUGGCUUUCUUUUGAGAUAGUGUUUCCUAGACAGGUGAAAAAUUGAAGCUUAUCUCUAAGGGCAAAGCUAUGUGAUGAAAACUUUUUCUCCCUUACCAAUCCUCC
RNAcentral lists this long non-coding RNA (1771 nucleotides) under Marmota monax (woodchuck). The record is from RNAcentral. Lineage: Eukaryota; Metazoa; Chordata; Mammalia; Rodentia; Sciuridae.